This is a non-coding RNA of Caenorhabditis elegans, 21 nucleotides long. NCBI's taxonomy places the organism in Eukaryota, Metazoa, Nematoda, Chromadorea, Rhabditida, Rhabditidae. The record is from Ensembl.
UACUUUGGCAAACCUAAUACA